Molecule: ribosomal RNA, 171 nt
Filed under: Triticum aestivum (bread wheat)
Lineage: Eukaryota; Viridiplantae; Streptophyta; Magnoliopsida; Poales; Poaceae
Description: partial small subunit ribosomal RNA
Source: RNAcentral
AUGGUUUUUAAGUUGGGUUUCAGGAAAGCAUUUGAUUCCAUAUGCUGGUCCUCCCUCAUUCAAAUUCUAAUAGCCCGUGGCUUCCCUUCCAUCUUCUGCGCUUGGGUCCAAAAUAUCCUCUCCACUGGAAAAACGGCUAUUCUUUUGAAUGGUGUUCCAGGGCCAUGGAUU